Lagenorhynchus albirostris (white-beaked dolphin) is the source of this 165-nucleotide long non-coding RNA. RefSeq lists it as uncharacterized. The record is from RefSeq and is a predicted model, not a curated record. NCBI's taxonomy places the organism in Eukaryota, Metazoa, Chordata, Mammalia, Artiodactyla, Delphinidae. The transcript has 3 exons.
CAGAACUUUAACACCGAAACCUGACAACACGUUACAAGAAUGGAAGAUUAAAGGUUCCUGUGACCUCACUAGAGAAGCAGAAGCUCCUGAUGCCAGAAGACCUCAGGCAGCUGGACGUUGGUGGACAGUUGCCAGUCUGCUACUUGCUAAAGAAGACUAUGUGUC